RNAcentral lists this transfer RNA (72 nucleotides) under Cavia porcellus (domestic guinea pig). It matches the Rfam family "tRNA". Rfam says of the family: Transfer RNA (tRNA) molecules are approximately 80 nucleotides in length. Their secondary structure includes four short double-helical elements and three loops (D, anti-codon, and T loops). Lineage: Eukaryota; Metazoa; Chordata; Mammalia; Rodentia; Caviidae. The record is from Rfam by way of RNAcentral.
GGGGAUGUAGCUCAGUGGUAGAGUGCUUGUCUAACAUGCACAAGGCCCUAAGUUAAAUCCUCAGUACCCCCC